ACGAACGCUGGCGGCAGGCUUAACACAUGCAAGUCGAACGGGCACCUUCGGGUGUCAGUGGCAGACGGGUGAGUAACGCGUGGGAACGUACCCUUCGGUUCGGAAUAACCCAGGGAAACUUGGGCUAAUACCGGAUACGUCCGUAAGGAGAAAGAUUUAUUGCCGAAGGAUCGGCCCGCGUCGGAUUAGCUAGUUGGUGGGGUAAUGGCCCACCAAGGCGACGAUCCGUAGCUGGUCUGAGAGGAUGAUCAGCCACACUGGGACUGAGACACGGCCCAGACUCCUACGGGAGGCAGCAGUGGGGAAUAUUGGACAAUGGGCGAAAGCCUGAUCCAGCCAUGCCGCGUGAGUGAAGAAGGCCUUAGGGUUGUAAAGCUCUUUCAGCGGGGAAGAUAAUGACGGUACCCGCAGAAGAAGUCCCGGCUAACUUCGUGCCAGCCGCCGCGGUAAUU
RNAcentral lists this ribosomal RNA (452 nucleotides) under uncultured bacterium. Its description in RNAcentral is "bacterial SSU rRNA". It matches the Rfam family "Bacterial small subunit ribosomal RNA", at positions 29 to 525 of the family's 1533-position model. The record is from RNAcentral.